CAUGCGGUGGAGCAUAUAGACUAAUUCGAAGCAACGUGCAGAACUUUGACCGGUCUUGACAUCGCGGGCCCGGUGUAGAGAUACGCCUUUCCGUUCGGGGACAGCGGUGGCAGUCGGUGCAUGGUGGUCGUCAGCUCGGGUCUUGAGAUGUUAGGUAAGUGCCACAAUCACUCGCAACCUUUGAUCUUAGAGCCAGCAUUCAAUGGGGCGCUCUAAGGUAAUUGCCGGGGCCAAACCGGAGGAAGGUGGGGAUGAGGUCAAAUCAUCAUGCCCCUUAUGACCUGGGCUACACACGUGCUCCAAUGGACGGUAAAAAGGGCUGCUAACCCGCGAGGGGGAGCCAAUCCCAGAUAACCGGGCUCCGUUGGGAUUGCAGGAUUCAACUCGCGUGCAGGAAGCAAGAAUCGGUAGUAAUCACAGGGCAGCACGCCACGGAGAAUCAUUCCCGGGCGCUGUCCACCC
Molecule: ribosomal RNA, 462 nt
Filed under: uncultured bacterium
Lineage: Bacteria
Description: bacterial SSU rRNA
Rfam family: Bacterial small subunit ribosomal RNA
Source: RNAcentral